UGCGGAGGGUGUAGAGUGUCCUGUGAGCUUCUUCUCAAGAAAAUUUAACAAGCAUCAAUACAACUAUUCAGUGAUUGAGAAGGAGGCUUUGGCACUUGUUUGGGCUCUGCAGCAUUUUGAUGUCUAUGUCGGCUCAGGGUUAUCUCCGCUGACUGUCUUCACUGACCAUAACCCCCUCACCUUCUUGAAGUCACUGCAAAAUCCUAAUCAGAGGCUAAUGAGGCUGCUGGGUUGGUGAGGAUGGAGGGAUGUGCUGGAGGAUGCAGCCUGGGGGGAGUGCAGUACUGACUGUCAGUUAUUGGUAACGUAUGAACCAUGACAGAUUGGAACAUAUUGACACUUAUUUGAUGUAUAACACGAGGUGGAACCUCGUUCUUAUGGAGGGGGGUGUGACGACCCCUCCCUUUCUGCUAGCAUCAUGCAGCUGAUUACUUCCUUCAGGAGUUGGCAGAAAGGGAGGGUCGUUAGGGCAAGGUGCUCACACCUGGCUAGGCCUCUACCCAAGGUGAUAUAAGCCAGCCUGGUCUCAUUGUCUCUCUCUCUCUCCUAGCCUCCACGCCGCUACAGGUUCUUGGUUCUUGGUUCUUUUUGGCGUCUUCCUUGUACACUCAACACCAGCACACACAUCUCACUCAUCCAUACACUACAUUCACCACUGAUGCCACUACUCUCCACACCUCAUGCUUUUUGUACAUAUAAUUGUUCAAGUUAUAAUAAAACCUUUUCAUUUAGCACUUUCAA
This is a long non-coding RNA of Platichthys flesus (European flounder), 741 nucleotides long. RefSeq lists it as uncharacterized. The record is from RefSeq and is a predicted model, not a curated record. Lineage: Eukaryota; Metazoa; Chordata; Actinopteri; Pleuronectiformes; Pleuronectidae. The transcript has 2 exons.